RNAcentral lists this ribosomal RNA (587 nucleotides) under uncultured bacterium. RNAcentral describes it as "partial 16S ribosomal RNA". It matches the Rfam family "Bacterial small subunit ribosomal RNA", at positions 355 to 1375 of the family's 1533-position model. The record is from RNAcentral.
UGGGGAAUUUUGGACAAUGGGCGAAAGCCUGAUCCAGCAAUGCCGCGUGUGUGAAGAAGGCCUUCGGGUUGUAAAGCACUUUUGUCCGGAAAGAAAUCCUUGGCUCUAAUACAGUCGGGGGAUGACGGUACCGGAAGAAUAAGCACCGGCUAACUACGUGCCAGCAGCCGCGGUAAUACGUAGGGUGCAAGCGUUAAUCGGAAUUACUGGGCGUAAAGCGUGCGCAGGCGGUUUGCUAAGACCGAUGUGAAAUCCCCGGGCUCAACCUGGGAACUACAUUGGUGACUGGCAGGCUAGAGUAUGGCAGAGGGGGGUAGAAUUCCACGUGUAGCAGUGAAAUGCGUAGAGAUGUGGAGGAAUACCGAUGGCGAAGGCAGCCCCCUGGGCCAAUACUGACGCUCAUGCACGAAAGCGUGGGGGAGCAAACAGGAUUAGAUACCCUGGUAGUCCACGCCCUAAAACGAUGUCAACUAGUUGUUGGGGAUUCAUUUCCUUAGUAACGUAGCUAACGCGUGAAGUUGACCGCCUGGGGAGUACGGUCGCAAGAUUAAAACUCAAAGGAAUUGACGGGGUCAUAGCUGUUUCCU